UAUUGGUGUUCGAAUUUUGAAAUGAGUCAACCCUGAACCAAGUGUUGUAGGUUUUCUCUGGGUACUACGGUUUACUCACACGGGAAGAAAAAUCUGUUUGAAAAAGGUGUCCACUUUCAUGACCAUUUGACUGGCACUGCAUGCAUUUAUUGUUGACCUACAGACAAGGGAUUCAAAGCAAUACAUUUUGCCAGAAGUGAUUAUUUGCACAUUCAGCUUUUUAGUUUCUUAUCUCAAUCAAUCUGCAGGCAAAAAUCAUUGCAUACAACACAAAUAUAAUGAUGUGGACAUCAACUGAUAUCUUGUUUUUUUUAAAGAAAUACAAUGGUUUACAUAGGUUAUGAUAAUUAUGGUUAGGUAAAAAUAAUACUAUAUACAAAUUAGCAUAAUAUAUCUAACCCAGAAUAAGAACAUCUAUACAAAGUGAGAGGUGCAACUUUAAAUAAUAACAACAUAGUGUUGAUAUAUGCUAAUUUGUAGAUGUAUAUGUAGUUUUCUGUAUAAUUGUAUUAAUAUAUUCUAUAUUGUUAUUAAUAUUUUUUGUAUAUACUUUGUUAUGACCAAAUGCAUCUGAUUGGUUUAAUUUUUGUCACAUGAUCAUAAAAGCUCGUGUAAUUUUCCAGACCCCGCAACAAACUUCCCGACGAAGGGCCUUCGCUCGAAACAUUGUCCUUGUAUUUUUCAGGUAGUUACAUCCCUACCAAACAGGGGCGAAACUUGAGUUGGGGGGGGGGGUGUUCAGGGGGUGGUCCAGAAAAAUUUUCCACCCCCUCACCACCCACCCACCCCUGUUCGCCAGCAUUUUGGGGAAACAGUGGCCAGAAAUG
Molecule: non-coding RNA, 827 nt
Organism: Paramuricea clavata
Lineage: Eukaryota; Metazoa; Cnidaria; Anthozoa; Malacalcyonacea; Plexauridae
Source: the annotation of a GenBank genome assembly